GGUGACGGGAGAAGGUGGGAGGAGUCCCCAGUCCUGUGUGGGUGGCUAAGGGGCGGUGACGGGAGAAGGUGGGAGGAGUCCCCAGUCCUGUGUGGGUGGCUAAGGGGCGGUGACGGGAGAAGGUGGGAGGAGUACCCAGUCCUGUGUGGGUGGCUAAGGGCGGUGACGGGAGAAGGUGGGAGGAGUCCCAAGUCCUGUGUGGGUGGCUAAGGGGCGGUGACGGGAGAAGGUGGGAGGAGUCCCCAGUCCUGUGUGGGUGGCUAGGGGGCGGUGUCGGGAGAAGGUGGGAGGAGUCCCAAGUCCUGUGUGGGUGGCUAAGGGGCGGUGACGAGAGAACGUCGGAGGAGCCCCUAGUCCUGUGUGGGUGGCUAAGGGGCGGUGACGGGAGAAGGUGGGAGGAGUCCCCAGUCCUGUGUGGGUGGCUAAGGGGCGGUGACGGGAGAAGGUGGGAGGAGUCCCCAGUCCUGUGUGGGUGGCUAGGGGGCGGUGUCGGGAGAAGGUGGGAGGAGUCCCAAGUCCUGUGUGGGUGGCUAAGGGGCGGUGACGGGAGAAGGUGGGAGGAGUACCCAGUCCUGUGUGGGUGGCUAAGGGGUGGUGACGGGAGAAGGUGGGAGGAGUCCCCAGUCCUGUGUGGGUGGCUAAGGGGCGGUGACGGGAGAAGGUGGGAGGAGUCCCCAGUCCUGUGUGGGUAGCUAAGGGGCGGUGACGGGAGAAGGUGGGAGGAGUCCCCAGUCCUGUGUGGGUGGCUAAGGGGCGGUGACGGGAGAAGGUGGGAGGAGUCCCCAGUCCUGUGUGGGUGGCUAAGGGGCGGUGACGGGAGAAGGUAGGAGGAGUCCCCAGUCCUGUGUGGGUGGCUAAGAGGAGUCCCCAGUCCUGUGUGGGUGGCUAAGGGGCGGUGACGGGAGAAGGUGGGAGGAGUCCCCAGUCCUGUGUGGGUGGCUAAGGGGCGGUGACGGGAGAAGGUGAGAGGAGUCCCCAGUCCUGUGUGGGUGGCUAAGGGGCAGUGAUGGGAGAAGGUGGGAGGAGUCCCCAGUCCUGUGUGGGUGGCUAAGGGGCGUUGACGGGAGAAGGUGGGAGGAGUCCCCAGUCCUGUGUGGGUGGCUAAGAGGAGUCCCCAGUCCUGUGUGGGUGGCUAAGGGGCGGUGACGGGAGAAGGUGGGAGGAGUCCCCAGUCCUGUGUGGGUGGCUAAGGGGUGGUGUCGGGAGAAGGUGGGAGGAGUCCCAAGUCCUGUGUGGGUGGCUAAGGGGCGGUGACGGGAGAAGGUGGGAGGAGUCCCCAGUCCUGUGUGGGUGGCUAAGGGGCGGUGACGGGAGAAGGUGGGAGGAGUCCCCAGUCCUGUGUGGGUGGCUAAGGGGCGGUGACGGGAGAAGGUGGGAGGAGUCCCCAGUCCUGUGUGGGUGGCUAUGGGGCGGUGACGGGAGAAGGUGGGAGGAGUCCCCAGUCCUGUGUGGGUGGCUAAGGGGCGGUGACGGGAGAAGGUGGGAGGAGUCCCCAGUCCUGUGUGGGUGGCUAAGGGGCGGUGACGGGAGAAGGUGGGAGGAGUCCCCAGUCCUGUCACACAUCAAACCAUCACUCUUUUCAUUAAUGUCUUCUCUUCUCUUUCCUGUUCUUCUCUGUUCUGUCUCUCAGCUUGUGGCCACCAUGUUUGCUUCUUUCUGGCGCAGUCUCUCU
Long non-coding RNA from Oncorhynchus tshawytscha (Chinook salmon), 1672 nucleotides. The record is from Ensembl. Lineage: Eukaryota; Metazoa; Chordata; Actinopteri; Salmoniformes; Salmonidae.